AUUGAACGCUGGCGGCAUGCCUUACACAUGCAAGUCGAACGGCAGCGCGGGGCAACCUGGCGGCGAGUGGCGAACGGGUGAGUAAAAUAUCGGAACAUACCCUAGAGUGGGGGAUAACGUAGCGAAAGUUACGCUAAUACCGCAUACGCACUAAGGUGGAAAGUGAGGGAUCUUCGGACCUCAUGCUCAUGGAGUGGCCGAUAUCUGAUUAGCUAGUUGGUGAGGUAAAGGCUCACCAAGGCGACGAUCAGUAGCUGGUUUGAGAGAACGACCAGCCACACUGGAACUGAGACACGGUCCCAGACUCCUACGGGAGGCAGCAGUGGGGAAUUUUGGACAAAUGGGGGGCAAACCCUGAUCCAGCAAUGCCGCGUGAGUGAAGAAGGCC
This 388-nucleotide ribosomal RNA is filed under the name uncultured bacterium. RNAcentral's name for it is "bacterial SSU rRNA". It matches the Rfam family "Bacterial small subunit ribosomal RNA", at positions 30 to 416 of the family's 1533-position model. The record is from RNAcentral.